This 927-nucleotide ribosomal RNA is filed under the name Prosthemium stellare. RNAcentral's name for it is "LSU rRNA". It matches the Rfam family "Eukaryotic large subunit ribosomal RNA", at positions 34 to 978 of the family's 3401-position model. The record is from RNAcentral. Lineage: Eukaryota; Fungi; Ascomycota; Dothideomycetes; Pleosporales; Pleomassariaceae.
CUAAGCAUAUCAAUAAGCGGAGGAAAAGAAACCAACAGGGAUUGCCCCAGUAACGGCGAGUGAAGCGGCAAUAGCUCAAAUUUGAAAUCUGGCCCUUUUAGGGUCCGAGUUGUAAUUUGCAGAGGGCGCUUUGGAGUUGGCUGCAGCCUAAGUUCCUUGGAACAGGUCAUCAUAGAGGGUGAGAAUCCCGUAUGUGGUUGCAUGCCUCCGCCGUGUAAAGCCCCUUCGAUGAGUCGAGUUGUUUGGGAAUGCAGCUCUAAAUGGGAGGUAAAUUUCUUCUAAAGCUAAAUAUUGGCCAGAGACCGAUAGCGCACAAGUAGAGUGAUCGAAAGAUGAAAAGCACUUUGGAAAGAGAGUCAAAAAGCACGUGAAAUUGUUGAAAGGGAAGCGCUUGCAGCCAGACUUGCCCGCAGUUGCUCAUCCGGGGUUCUCCCCGGUGCACUCUUCUGUGGGCAGGCCAGCAUCAGUUCGGGCGGUUGGAGAAAGACCUGUGUCAUGUAGCUGUUCUCGGGCAGUGUUAUAGGGCAGGUGGAAUGCAACCAGCUCGAACUGAGGUCCGCGCAUCUGCUAGGAUGCUGGCGUAAUGGCUGUAAGCGGCCCGUCUUGAAACACGGACCAAGGAGUCUAACAUCUAUGCGAGUGUUUGGGUGUCAAGCCCGAGCGCGUAAUGAAAGUGAACGGAGGUGGGAACCCCUCGGGGUGCACCAUCGACCGAUCCUGAUGUCUUCGGAUGGAUUUGAGUAAGAGCAUAGCUGUUGGGACCCGAAAGAUGGUGAACUAUGCCUGAAUAGGGUGAAGCCAGAGGAAACUCUGGUGGAGGCUCGCAGCGGUUCUGACGUGCAAAAUCGAUCGUCAAAUUUGGGCAUAGGGGCGAAAGACUAAUCGAACUAUCUAGUAGCUGGUUCCUGCCGAAGUUUCCCCUCAGGA